GAGCCCAAGAUUGAAAGCUGGCGUCUUCGGCGUCCGCAUUGUAAUCUCAAGAAGUGUUUUCCGCUUCGGACCAAGCCUAAGUCCCCUGGAAAGGGGCAUCAUAGAGGGUGAUAAUCCCGUACAUGGCUUGGAGCGCCCGAGGCUUUGUGAUACGCUUUCUAAGAGUCGAGUUGUUUGGGAAUGCAGCUCAAAAUGGGUGGUAAAUGCCAUCUAAGGCUAAAUAUUGGGGAGAGACCGAUAGCGAACAAGUACAGUGAUGGAAAGAUGAAAAGAACUUUGAAAAGAGAGUUAAACAGUACGUGAAAUUGCCAAAAGGGAAGGGUAGGAGGUCAGAGAUGCGGCCUGGGAUUCAGCCUUGCUUUUGCUUGGUGUUUUUCCUGCGUUGCAGGCCAACGUCGGUUUUGGGCACUGGAGAAGGGUAGGAGGAACG
Molecule: ribosomal RNA, 430 nt
Filed under: uncultured Pseudozyma
Lineage: Eukaryota; Fungi; Basidiomycota; Ustilaginomycetes; Ustilaginales; Ustilaginaceae
Description: eukaryotic LSU rRNA
Rfam family: Eukaryotic large subunit ribosomal RNA
Source: RNAcentral